GAAUGUGAGGGUGAUCUGGCUGUGACAUCUGUCAGGCCAUGGUCAGGGUUGAUUUGCUGAUCUGGCUGGACAGGCUGGUGUUCCCUUCCUCCCUCACUGCUCCAUCUGCAUCCCUCCCAAAGCUGGACAAUCAGUCCAAGAGGACUGGUUCCUCAGUCCAGGGUGCAGGAGUAGCCGUGAUCCCCUGCUGGAACCUCCAAACAAGCUCUCAAGAAUCACAGAUGCUCAAGGGCUUGAGGAGCAGUGAUCCAGGCCAAGACCAAUGA
Molecule: small nuclear RNA, 266 nt
Filed under: Cavia porcellus (domestic guinea pig)
Lineage: Eukaryota; Metazoa; Chordata; Mammalia; Rodentia; Caviidae
Description: 7SK RNA
Rfam family: 7SK RNA
About the family: 7SK was discovered as an abundant small nuclear RNA in the mid-70s but a possible function has only recently been suggested.
Source: Rfam by way of RNAcentral